UUGUGCAAAGGUAGCAUAAUCAUUAGUCUCUUAAUUGGUGACUUGUAUGAAAGAUUGGAUGAAAUAUAAUCUGUCUUAAAUUUAUAUUUUUAGAAAUUAAUUUUUUAAUUAAAAAGUUAAGAUUUAUUAAAAAGACGAGAAGACCCUAUAGAGUUUUAUAAUUUAAUUUGAUUAAAAAUAUUUAUAAAAAUAAAAUUUAAAAUUAUUUAAAUUAUUUGAUUGGGGUGAUUAAAAAAUUUAAUAAACUUUUUUUUUUUAUUAUACAUAAAUAAGUGUUUUUAAUGAUCCAUUUUUAUUGAUUAAAAGGAAAAAUUACCUUAGGGAUAACAGCGUAAUUUUUUUUUUUAGUUCGUAUAAAAAAAAGAGUUUGCGACCUCGAUGUUGGAUCAGGACA
Molecule: ribosomal RNA, 394 nt
Filed under: Gonometa postica
Lineage: Eukaryota; Metazoa; Arthropoda; Insecta; Lepidoptera; Lasiocampidae
Description: partial 16S ribosomal RNA
Source: RNAcentral